UGAGUAACCUGCCCUUAACUCUGGGAUAAGCCUGGGAAACUGGGUCUAAUACCGGAUAUGACUCCUCAUCGCAUGGUGGGGGGUGGAAAGCUUUUGUGGUUUUGGAUGGACUCGCGGCCUAUCAGCUUGUUGGUGAGGUAAUGGCUUACCAAGGCGACGACGGGUAGCCGGCCUGAGAGGGUGACCGGCCACACUGGGACUGAGACACGGCUCAGACUCCUACGGGAGCAG
Molecule: ribosomal RNA, 231 nt
Filed under: uncultured bacterium
Lineage: Bacteria
Description: partial 16S ribosomal RNA
Rfam family: Bacterial small subunit ribosomal RNA
Source: RNAcentral